This 667-nucleotide ribosomal RNA is filed under the name Penicillium chrysogenum. Its description in RNAcentral is "eukaryotic LSU rRNA". The stretch from base 265 to 417 matches the Rfam family "5.8S ribosomal RNA". Lineage: Eukaryota; Fungi; Ascomycota; Eurotiomycetes; Eurotiales; Aspergillaceae. The record is from RNAcentral.
CCCGAAAAAAAACCUUUCAACUCGGUCAUUUAGAGGAAGUAAAAGUCGUAACAAGGUUUCCGUAGGUGAACCUGCGGAAGGAUCAUUACCGAGUGAGGGCCCUCUGGGUCCAACCUCCCACCCGUGUUUAUUUUACCUUGUUGCUUCGGCGGGCCCGCCUUAACUGGCCGCCGGGGGGCUUACGCCCCCGGGCCCGCGCCCGCCGAAGACACCCUCGAACUCUGUCUGAAGAUUGUAGUCUGAGUGAAAAUAUAAAUUAUUUAAAACUUUCAACAACGGAUCUCUUGGUUCCGGCAUCGAUGAAGAACGCAGCGAAAUGCGAUACGUAAUGUGAAUUGCAAAUUCAGUGAAUCAUCGAGUCUUUGAACGCACAUUGCGCCCCCUGGUAUUCCGGGGGGCAUGCCUGUCCGAGCGUCAUUGCUGCCCUCAAGCACGGCUUGUGUGUUGGGCCCCGUCCUCCGAUCCCGGGGGACGGGCCCGAAAGGCAGCGGCGGCACCGCGUCCGGUCCUCGAGCGUAUGGGGCUUUGUCACCCGCUCUGUAGGCCCGGCCGGCGCUUGCCGAUCAACCCAAAUUUUUAUCCAGGUUGACCUCGGAUCAGGUAGGGAUACCCGCUGAACUUAAGCAUAUCAAUAAGCGGAGAAAAGAAACCCAACAGGUUCCCCCCC